This 230-nucleotide non-coding RNA is filed under the name Teichococcus cervicalis. The record is from RNAcentral. RNAcentral also lists the same sequence under 1 other name. Lineage: Bacteria; Pseudomonadati; Pseudomonadota; Alphaproteobacteria; Acetobacterales; Roseomonadaceae.
GCAAUGUGGCCCCGCAUCGGUCCCGCGCGAGCGGGUGAGAAAGGGAACGCCGUGCGCCACGGCCAUCGCUCGAUGGCCCGGCAAGUCGGCGGCUGCCCCCGCAACUGUCAGCGGCGAGCCGAAACCCCGGGCCCUCGGCAAAGGGCGGCCACUGGAUCGCGAGAUCCGGGAAGGCGGGGCGGAGGCGGUGACCCGCGAGCCAGGAGACCUGCCGGUGCGUCCGCAACGCA